AGAACACUUCUUUCGUUCUUUAACGUUGAUCAAGUUUUUUUUUUAAAAAAGAUUAAGUUUUUUGUUUUAUAUGUCGCCGGUGGUGCGAAUUCCUCGGAAUUUUAGAUUAUUAGAAGAACUUGAAAAAGGUGAAAAGGGUUUUAGUGAUGGCUCUGUGAGUUAUGGUUUAGAUUCUCCCUCUGACACACUUCUCGAAAACUGGACUGGGACUAUUGUGGGUCCUUCUAACGGAAAUUUUGCGAAUAGGAUUUACAAUAUAAAAAUUUACUGCGGAUUAGCGUAUCCCGAGGAAGCUCCCACAGUCCAUUUUAUAUCUAAAAUUAAUCUUCCUUUCGUAGAUGAUAAUGGAAAAGUACUUCCAGAAAAAUUUAAACCUUUGGGCAAUUGGAAUCCACAGUAUACUAUAGAAAAAAUAUUAACAUCUUUAAGAAGAGAUAUGGAGAGUAGUCUUUACUCAAAUUUAAAACAACCACCGGAAUUCGCUACCUAUUGAAUUCAUUUUUAAUUUUUUAAGCGUU
Long non-coding RNA from Zophobas morio, 518 nucleotides. RefSeq lists it as uncharacterized. The transcript is spliced from 6 exons. NCBI's taxonomy places the organism in Eukaryota, Metazoa, Arthropoda, Insecta, Coleoptera, Tenebrionidae. The record is from RefSeq and is a predicted model, not a curated record.